This 253-nucleotide ribosomal RNA is filed under the name uncultured bacterium. RNAcentral describes it as "partial 16S ribosomal RNA". It matches the Rfam family "Bacterial small subunit ribosomal RNA", at positions 524 to 776 of the family's 1533-position model. The record is from RNAcentral.
UACGGAGGGUGCGAGCGUUGUCCGGAAUCACUGGGCGUAAAGGGCGCGUAGGCGGCGCGGAUAGUCGGCGGUGAAAGCCCGGAGCUCAACUCCGGGUCGGCCGUCGAUACUUCCGGGCUUGAGCACUGUAGAGGCAGAUGGAAUUCCGGGUGUAGCGGUGGAAUGCGUAGAGAUCCGGAGGAACACCGGUGGCGAAGGCGGCUUCCUGGACCGACACUGACGCUGAGGCGCGAAAGCCAGGGGAGCAAACGGG